Molecule: long non-coding RNA, 1409 nt
Organism: Balaenoptera acutorostrata (minke whale)
Lineage: Eukaryota; Metazoa; Chordata; Mammalia; Artiodactyla; Balaenopteridae
Exons: 3
Source: RefSeq, a predicted model, not a curated record
UCAGCCGUGAGCAGGAGACGGCACAGACCAGGAGGAUGGCUUGAGAAGCAACGCAGGGCCGCUUGGCGGAGGGAGAGCAGCUGGGAGCCGAGGGAGCAGAAGGUGGCUCGGGACGCGGAACCAGAGACUCCGCCCACUCCAGGGAGGGCCAGACGGCCCAGCCCAGGGGCUCCGGCCUGCCCUCCGUCCCCACCACCCUGCUGGACGCUGUGGAGGGAGGUGUCCCGGCAUCCUGGCAGUGAGGAUGGUGGCUAAGACCCUCAGACUUGGAGUCUCACGGCCCCAGGUUCAAACCCAGCCCCUGCCACUUGCCAGCUGGAGAGCCGGACAACGGACUUCGCCUCUCUGAGCUUCUGUUUCCUCCUCCAAAAAAGGGGGGAUGAUAAGAACCUUUUCUCAGGGAGCUAUUAUGAGGUUCAGGGAGCUUUUGUGUGAAGCGCAAAGCAAGCACACCAAGAACACUGACGCUGGAAGGUGGCACGCAGAGGGUUUGAUCCUGGCCGUGCCUUGAAUCUGCUCACUAAUGCCGGGGACCUUGGACUUCAGGAAAAGUAAAUAUAACAAGAGGCAACAACCACCACCACUGUACCACUAAUCACCAUCUGGAACUGCUGGGUAUGGUCGAACAGGCUGUGCACUGCCCAAGUGCACUGCGUACCCAGCCUAUGACAAAUAUGGCGCCCCCUGGAGUUGGACAAUGCCGUGCCGCCGCUGCCACCUAACACUGACCAAAUGCCUGCUGUGAGUGCCUUGUGCCAUUUAAUCCCCCAACGAGGAAGGUACGAUACUCCCAAUUUUACAGCUACAGAAUACGCAGGCCUGGCAUUCCCAGGGCAUAUGGGUGGCCAGUGAAGAGAAGCCUGGUUCUUGGAAUAACAACAAACACAAUUAGGGACCAGGGCCCUUGAAGCUUUUCUGGAAACGAGAUGGCUCAGGCCCAGCUGCCCUCAGGCAGCCCUUGAAAUGCCAGAGAGUUCAAGAGGCCUGCCAGGCGGGCAGCUCCCACGGCCCCUUUCAGGGUGGUGAAACGGGGCUGUCAGAGCCUUCAGUCACUCAGAGCCGCGAUGCCAAGACUCCGACAUGAUGCAUUAGCCACAGGUCAGUAUUUAAAUUUAAAUUAAGUAAAACGGGGACCUCCCUGGUGGCGCAGUGGUUAAGAAUCCACCUGCCAAUGCAGGGGACACGGGUUCGAGCCCUGGUUCGGGAAGAUCCCACAUGCCGCGGAGCAACUAAGCCCGUGCGCCACAACUAUUGAGCCUGCACUCAAGAGCCUGCGAGCCAUAACUACUGAGCCCAUGCUCCACAACAAGAGAAGCCACCGCAGUGAGAAGCCCACGCACCUCAACGAAGAGUAGCCCGCGCUCGCCGCAACUAGAGAAAGCCGGUGUGCAGCAACGAAGACCCAACGC